Callorhinus ursinus (northern fur seal) is the source of this 665-nucleotide long non-coding RNA. RefSeq lists it as uncharacterized. NCBI's taxonomy places the organism in Eukaryota, Metazoa, Chordata, Mammalia, Carnivora, Otariidae. The record is from RefSeq and is a predicted model, not a curated record.
CAGGAGGGAGCAAGGGUAUCAGCACACGGAGGACGCCGCUCAUCCUCCCCGCCCUACAGUCUCCACCCUGGGCCCGACUGCGACUGCUCGGCCGCGCACCGUUUCAGAAAUGUCUUGAGGGCCAAACACGUCUCCUUCUGGCCACACCUCCCUGAAGCACGGAGAGAAAAAAGACCUUAGCCAGGGGGAAUCUGAGUUAUAAUUUGAGGUGGGCAAAGGAGUUUGGACUCAUCUCUCAUCUGUCAGCCAAGAAGAGAAUGCAAACUGUUACCUCAAAGAUGAAACAAAGACUCUAGGGAAAUCCUCCCUCAUCAGCCACACUGCACACCGCCGGAACAAAAUGCAAACAAUCGAAGUGUCUCACACUUGGUUGAACAAAGCAGGAAAAUGAGAGUCAGCACCCCACCCCUGCUCCCCCACAUCAAGGCUGUGAACCAGUUUGGGGCACAGGCAAAUAGGAUGGACUAGGAGGCCCUUGACGUUCACGCUCUAUUCAAGAAACUCAUAACACACCAAAGGUUAGCAGCAUGAGCUUCGGAGCCCAACAGAUCUGGAUUUAAGUACUGACACUAGGCACGAGCAAGACCUCAAACAAGCUGCUUCACCACUGUGUGCACGGGUCCUAGCGCUACCAUGAGGAUGACAUGAAAACAAACUGAGGGUUG